ACACAGGCUAUAAGAACAUGGGCGAUGGCUCCAGGAAACCAACCGUCCCACAAUGCAAAGGUCGUUGGUGACGCUAUUAGACGAGCGCCAGCAGCGCGGCCAGCGGGGAGCGCCGUGGUCCUCGCCGCCUCCCACCCUGCCGCCUCCGUCGCCGCCACCUCCGUGGGGCCCUCCGUGUCUGCGCAGCGCGGCCCACGGCUCCCGGAGGAGCAGCCGAGCACGGGGUCGGGCACGGGGCGCAGCCAUGGCGGACAGUGCGGGAGCAGGUGCGGCGGGCCAGGCCUCGGGACCAGCGGGGGGCUCGAGUGGGGCGGGCGGCACGGUCAACCCCGCUUCGCUGCCUCCGGGAGACCCGCAGCUCAUCGCUCUUAUAGUGGAGCAGCUCAAGAGCCGUGGCCUGUUUGAUAGCUUCCGCCGGGACUGCCUGGCCGACGUGGACACUAAGCCAGCUUACCAGAACCUGAGGCAGAAGGUGGAUAAUUUUGUAUCGACACAUCUGGACAAACAGGAAUGGAAUCCUGCAAUGAACAAGAACCAGCUGCGAAAUGGGCUGAGGCAGAGCGUGGUUCAGUAAGUAAAGGUCAGGCAUGUUGGAAGCGGGAGUGGACAGGAUCAUUUCUCAAGUGGUCGACCCCAAACUAAACCACAUCUUCAGGCCACAGAUAGAGCGAGCAAUCCACGAGUUCCUGGCCGCCCAGAAAAAAGAAGCUGUGCCAGCUCCCCCUCCAGAACCUGAAGGCCAGGAUCCUCCAGCGCCAUCCCAAGAUGCUUCCUAAGGAUGUGCCUGAUGCCUUGGGAAGCUCUGUUUAAUGGAGAAGCGGUUCCUGUUCAUACGAAUUAACUUUAGUCAACCAUGUCAUUACUGAUGUCAAGAUUUUGGCCUUGACUGAGGUGGUGUCCAUGUUGGAUGGAGAUCAAGUUUGGUUGUGGACAGUUACCCAUACUUGCUCAUGGAUUGUGUCACCUUUGACCAGCCUGUCGAAGGGUGUGGCUGCAGUAGACACUACAGAGGUUUAAGCACUACAGUGAUGUGGGCUGUCCUGAACGAACCUUUAUACUUGAACACAGACACUGCAUGUGGAUGUCAGCGCUUGUGCUGUGUGGUUUGCAGGAGCCAAGCUGGAAGCUAGCUGGUCAGGACAGCACAGACCGGUGGGAGCAGCUGUCUGAUGGUGGGCUUUGAUAUGCUGGAGUUACAGACUGGAACGUGGGGCAGUUAGUGUCAGCAGCCUUAAGGUUGUGACCUUCCUGUACUUGGGGAUCUUAAUGGUUCCUUUCCUUGUCAGAGGUAGUGUUGGAACCCUGGAGUGAGUGAGGAAGCUGAGACUUGGGGUACACAGAAAGCCCCACAGCUUCUGUCCUGACAUCUCCCCAUCCACAGGGGUGAGUCACUCUGUGUUCGGUGCUCAGUUCUCAUGUUUGUGUUUUUAGAAAAAAAAAACCUGCUAAUAAAUGGUGGAUAUUUUACAAUAA
This 1473-nucleotide long non-coding RNA is filed under the name Rattus norvegicus (Norway rat). Its description in RNAcentral is "long non-coding RNA NONRATT031624". Lineage: Eukaryota; Metazoa; Chordata; Mammalia; Rodentia; Muridae. The record is from RNAcentral.